CAGGCAGCUUUUACACUGAGUUUAUUAUCUUUACUGUGGUACAACAGGGCCACGAAUGAUAGGCAGUAUUUGCUGAUUGCUUACUUUGGGCAACUCUAUACCCUGUGCCAAAACAAGCUCUCCACCCAGGCCUGUCUCCUCGUCCUGUGCCGGGGAGCCCACGCCUGCAGUUCCAGGAGGUCUGUGGCCUGUAGUCCAUGC
Phyllostomus discolor (pale spear-nosed bat) is the source of this 201-nucleotide long non-coding RNA. RefSeq lists it as uncharacterized. NCBI's taxonomy places the organism in Eukaryota, Metazoa, Chordata, Mammalia, Chiroptera, Phyllostomidae. The record is from RefSeq and is a predicted model, not a curated record. The transcript has 4 exons.